UCCGUACCGUACACAAAAUGAUUUGGUAGUACACACAAUGUGGCGUAUUACACACAAAAAUAGGCCCUGCUUCCAAGGUGGUUUUCGUCUUUCAAUUGCACCUUCUAUUAUAGUGCGAUGCGAUUCUUCGUCAUAGCGUAGAACAUCAUGUCCCAUCAUGUCCCACCUUCGUUGCUUUACGACAUUAAUUACGGAUCUCGUUUCUCCAACGUGGAUCAGAUCAGUACAUCGUCG
Molecule: non-coding RNA, 234 nt
Organism: Cinara cedri
Lineage: Eukaryota; Metazoa; Arthropoda; Insecta; Hemiptera; Aphididae
Source: the annotation of a GenBank genome assembly